Molecule: long non-coding RNA, 1337 nt
Filed under: Heterocephalus glaber (naked mole-rat)
Lineage: Eukaryota; Metazoa; Chordata; Mammalia; Rodentia; Bathyergidae
Description: lncRNA (ENSHGLG00100049759.1)
Source: RNAcentral
GGGAAAAGUAAGACCUCGCCACAAAUGCGGGAUCCGCCCCUAACGGACUGACGUCAACGGACCGACGUCAGCGGAGGGACGCAGAGGACGGCGGCGCAUGCGCAGGUCAGGCGGGAGGUAACGGUCCGCUUGUAUCACAAUCAGUGGCCAAAGCUCAGUCACCAUCGCCAGAGUUUGGAAAGACAGCCUUGACAGAAACAGAAAAGGUGACUUCUGGAGCCGUGUCUACUAGGGAAUUAUACCCGGCAGGACCUGUGCAAAUCAGCAAACAGAAGACAAAGAAGGUGAAGUAGAAGCCAACCCUAGAGAACCUCUGGACGCCUUUAUAAUACUGUGGUUCUGGCUUUUCAAAAAAUCAUUUUGUGGCAAAAGUUUGCUUUCUGUUUUAUUCCUCUUCGGAAACCUACAGUCAAACAAUGUAUUCAUUUUUCUUCGUGGCUGUUGUUUUUUGAAACGGGAGUCUCUAUUAGUUUGGGCUGGCCUUGAACUUGCUACCUAACUCAGGCUGCUCUCGAACUCACGGCGAUCUUCUUGCCUCAGCCUCCCGCGUGCUGGGAUUGCAGACAUGUGCCACCAUGCCCGGGUCAGAAUGCCUUUUAAUAACACAUUUGUAUUCUUCCUACGUAACCAAACCACACAAAAAUUACAAAGAGAAUUAGAAGAAAGUAAUUUAGUUUAGACUAGCAGCAUAAAUUUCAGAAUGGGUGCCAGGAUUUUCAGAAUUUUGGGACUAGGUAUGAAAAACAGCAAUCUAAAAAUUGCCUACUCAGAGACAACCUAGUUUCUUUAUUUCACAGCUCUGAAUUCACAAGUAUUAUAAGUAGGACAUUUAAACAAAAAACCUGAAUGAGUUUCCUCAACAUAGGAAGAUGUAAAACAGAAAACCUACAAAAUAAACAACCAGACCUAGGAGUGACAUCAGAGGAGGAACAGAAAAGGCUUGAUGGCAGUGAACAUAACCAGCUCAGGCAAGGUGGAGUAACAGGGAUUACGUUUGUCCUCCUUUUGGGAAUAAGCUUUUAAAAAUCAGACAAAAUACACAACAAUGAGGACUCAGAAGUCGCCAUCCAUAAACCAGAAAAUGAAACCCCACUAGACCCUGAUGCGCCCUGAUCUUGGGCUUCUCAGUUCCAGAGAUGUCAGAAAGAAAUUUCUGUCUUUAUAAGCCGCCCGGUGCAUGGUAUUUUGUUAAAGCACUCACAGGGAUUAAGACAGAUGAGGACACAAUUAUGUGCAACUGUAAAUACAAAAGCACAAAUAGAAUAAAAGCAAAAGGAUGGAAAAGCCAGGUCAUAUUAAUACUACAGCAAAAGAGAGGUGCAGUAGAUAUAUUAAUA